GGAAUUUUCGUCAAUGGGGGGAAACCCUGAACGAGCGACGCCGCGUGGAGGAUGAAGGUCUUCGGAUUGUAAACUCCUUUUAUACGGGACGAUAAUGACGGUACCGUAGGAAUAAGCCCCGGCUAACUCUGUGCCAGCAGCCGCGGUAAUACAGAGGGGGCAAGCGUUGUCCGGAAUUACUGGGCGUAAAGCGCACGCAGGUGGUCACGCAAGUGGUGUGUGAAACCAAUCAGCUUAACUGAUUGACGCCAUGCCAAACUGCGAGACUAGAGGGAUGGAGAGGUUGUUCGAAUUGCUGGUGUAGUGGUGAAAUGCGUAGAGAUCAGCAGGAAGACCAAGGGCGAAAGCAGACAACUGGCCAUCACCUGACACUGAGGUGCGAAAGCGUGGGGAGCGAACUGGAUUAGAUACCCAGGUAGUCCACGCCGUAAACGAUGUAUGCUCGGUAUCUGGGCUGUUACAGGCUUGGGUACCUCAGGAAACCCGGUAAGCAUACCGCCUGGGAAGUACGAACGCAAGUUUAAAACUCAAAGGAAUUGACGGA
Molecule: ribosomal RNA, 544 nt
Filed under: uncultured bacterium
Lineage: Bacteria
Description: bacterial SSU rRNA
Rfam family: Bacterial small subunit ribosomal RNA
Source: RNAcentral